This 468-nucleotide ribosomal RNA is filed under the name uncultured bacterium. RNAcentral describes it as "partial 16S ribosomal RNA". It matches the Rfam family "Bacterial small subunit ribosomal RNA", at positions 28 to 507 of the family's 1533-position model. The record is from RNAcentral.
GACGAACGCUGGCGGCGUGCUUAACACAUGCAAGUCGAACGGAAAGGCCCUGCUUUUGUGUGGUGCUCGAGUGGCGAACGGGUGAGUAACACGUGAGUAACCUGCCCUUGACUUUGGGAUAACUUCAGGAAACUGGGGCUAAUACCGGAUAGGAGCUCCUGCUGCAUGGUGGGGGUUGGAAAGUUUCGGCGGUUGGGGAUGGACUCGCGGCUUAUCAGCUUGUUGGUGGGGUAGUGGCUUACCAAGGGUUUGACGGGUAGCCGGCCUGAGAGGGUGACCGGCCACAUUGGGACUGAGAUACGGCCCAGACUCCUACGGGAGGCAGCAGUGGGGAAUAUUGCACAAUGGGCGGAAGCCUGAUGCAGCAACGCCGCGUGCGGGAUGACGGCCUUCGGGUUGUAAACCGCUUUCGCCUGUGACGAAGCGUGAGUGACGGUAAUGGGUAAAGAAGCACCGGCUAACUACGUG